GGAUGAGUCUUGCACAAUGGGGGCAACCCUGAUGCAGCGACGCCGCGUGAGCGAUGAAGCCCUUCGGGGUGUAAAGCUCUUUCGGCAGGGAAGAUAGUGACGGUACCUGCAGAAGCAGCUGCGGCUAACUACGUGCCAGCAGCCGCGGUAAUACGUAGGCAGCAAGCGUUGUUCGGAGUUACUGGGCGUAAAGGGUGUGUAGGCGGUUCCGUAAGUCUGGUGUGAAAUCUCCCGGCUCAACUGGGAGGGUGCGCCGGAAACUGCGGGGCUAGAGUGUGGGAUGGGAGAGUGGAAUUCCUGGUGUAGCGGUGAAAUGCGUAGAUAUCAGGAGGAACACCUGCGGUGUAGACGGCUCUCUGGACCAUUACUGACGCUGAAACACGAAAGCGUGGGUAGCAAAACA
This 403-nucleotide ribosomal RNA is filed under the name uncultured bacterium. RNAcentral's name for it is "bacterial SSU rRNA". It matches the Rfam family "Bacterial small subunit ribosomal RNA", at positions 355 to 775 of the family's 1533-position model. The record is from RNAcentral.